CUGACGUUAGCGGCGGACGGGUGAGUAACACGUGGAUAACCUACCUAUAAGACUGGGAUAACUUCGGGAAACCGGAGCUAAUACCGGAUAAUAUAUUGAACCGCAUGGUUCAAUAGUCGAAAGACGGUUUUGCUGUCACUUAUAGAUGGAUCCGCGCCGCAUUAGCUAGUUGGUAAGGUAACGGCUUACCAAGGCAACGAUGCGUAGCCGACCUGAGAGGGUGAUCGGCCACACUGGAACUGAGACACGGUCCAGACUCCUACGGGAGGCAGCAGUAGGGAAUCUUCCGCAAUGGGCGAAAGCCUGACGGAGCAACGCCGCGUGAGUGAUGAAGGUCUUCGGAUCGUAAAACUCUGUUAUUAGGGAAGAACAAAUGUGUAAGUAACUAUGCACGUCUUGACGGUACCUAAUCAGAAAGCCACGGCUAACUACGUGCCAGCAGCCGCGGUAAUACGUAGGUGGCAAGCGUUAUCCGGAAUUAUUGGGCGUAAAGCGCGCGUAGGCGGUUUUUUAAGUCUGAUGUGAAAGCCCACGGCUCAACCGUGGAGGGUCAUUGGAAACUGGAAAACUUGAGUGCAGAAGAGGAAAGUGGAAUUCCAUGUGUAGCGGUGAAAUGCGCAGAGAUAUGGAGGAACACCAGUGGCGAAGGCGACUUUCUGGUCUGUAACUGACGCUGAUGUGCGAAAGCGUGGGGAUCAAACAGGAUUAGAUACCCUGGUAGUCCACGCCGUAAACGAUGAGUGCUAAGUGUUAGGGGGUUUCCGCCCCUUAGUGCUGCAGCUAACGCAUUAAGCACUCCGCCUGGGGAGUACGACCG
Molecule: ribosomal RNA, 817 nt
Filed under: uncultured Staphylococcus sp.
Lineage: Bacteria; Bacillati; Bacillota; Bacilli; Caryophanales; Staphylococcaceae
Description: bacterial SSU rRNA
Rfam family: Bacterial small subunit ribosomal RNA
Source: RNAcentral